This 955-nucleotide long non-coding RNA is filed under the name Mytilus galloprovincialis (Mediterranean mussel). Lineage: Eukaryota; Metazoa; Mollusca; Bivalvia; Mytilida; Mytilidae. The record is from RNAcentral.
ACUUGUUAUAAUUACAACUUUGAUCAAUUUACAGAAUAUUUUGUCCUAAAAAAAAAACUCAACUACAACCAGUCCUUAAUAAUAAUUAGAUCCAGUACCAUUAUUUCAAUAUAUUUGUAGAUCUACAAAUCAAUUUGUUGACAAAUAAGGUUCAGUCUCUUUUGAAAAAAAAUAUUUUUGGGAAUGUGAAACUAAAUCUUUUGACAAGAGCUUGAAACACAAAAGAAUUGUCCAUAGAAUGAACAAUCUUAAAACAUAUUUAAAUGUGCCUUGCAGGGUUUUGUAAUCAUUUUAAAUCUAAGAAUUUUCUGUUUUAUGUGGAAAAAAUAAUAGAUGUUCUGGAUUUUCAUGUUGUGGAGAGUUGGUGAUCAUAUGCAACUUUUGAAAAAUUCUGAUUGAAUGAAAUACAUAUGAUAAUUCUUGUAUUAAUAGAAUUAUGAUUACACCUGAACUAUAAGAAGAUUUUAUUUUGAAAAUACAAUCGAAGUUUAGAGACCUAAAAUCUAAAAAUAUGUGUUUUUGCUAACCCCAAAAACUAAAAUAUUGUCAUAGAUUUUGAUAAUGUUUUUAAAAGUAAGAAUCCUUCCACAUAUCUGUUUGGAAACAAUAAGAAUAGAAGGUGGGAGAUGCUUUUGAAAUUUAAACAAUAAAAUAAAUUAACAGAAGCACAGUUAUAAUUUCAUGUUUAUGGUGUAAUUUUAUGUGAAAGAUUUUGAAUUUUUGGCAUUUUAUUUAUAAUCAUUAUAAAGUGUUUUGUCAUUUGCAUCAUUUUCAUUACAAUUUUUGCAAUAUUUUAUUUUCAGCAAUCUUUAAUGUAAUUGUGCUAAAAUGUGUGUUUUCAUUGGUCAAGUGACCUAUGUAUGUGCUGAUUGCUGGUAUGAACCAGUUAUUAAAAUAUCAAAAUACUUCGUUUUUUGUUUGAAUCUCUUUUAAUUCAUCCUGAUGUGCAAAUGUU